UACGUAGGGUGCAAGCGUUGUCCGGAAUUAUUGGGCGUAAAGAGCUCGUAGGCGGUCUGUCGCGUCUGCUGUGAAAACUCGGGGCUUAACCCCGGGCCUGCAGUGGGUACGGGCAGACUAGAGUGCGGUAGGGGAGACUGGAAUUCCUGGUGUAGCGGUGAAAUGCGCAGAUAUCAGGAGGAACACCGGUGGCGAAGGCGAGUCCCUGGACGAUACCUGACACUGAGGCACGAAAGCCAAGGGAGCAAACAGG
This 253-nucleotide ribosomal RNA is filed under the name uncultured bacterium. RNAcentral describes it as "partial 16S ribosomal RNA". It matches the Rfam family "Bacterial small subunit ribosomal RNA", at positions 524 to 776 of the family's 1533-position model. The record is from RNAcentral.